This 107-nucleotide small nuclear RNA is filed under the name Procavia capensis (Cape rock hyrax). Lineage: Eukaryota; Metazoa; Chordata; Mammalia; Hyracoidea; Procaviidae. The record is from RNAcentral.
GUACUCACUUUGGCAGUACAUACACUAAAACUGGAAUGACACAGAGACAAUUAGCACGGCCCCAGCACAGAGGUGACAUGGAAAUUCCUGAAAUAUUCCAUAUAUUU